GCGCGAACAUCUGCUGCUACAGCAAUGCAGGAGUGAGGAGACGCGAUGUAUAGAGCAGUGAGGGAGCAAAACCCGGAGCGGAGUCCGGCCCCUUCACUGGAACGGAGUGCGGAGAGCCUUGGAUACGACGCGUCAUCUCCAUCUGUACAGCUCCAGUACCUUUGAUGAAGACUAGAGGAUCUUCAUCGACACCAAACCAGAAAUGUGUACACUGAUUAUUUAUAUACUGUGCAUAAUCAUUAAAAUUAUUAUUAUUAUCCCUUUAAAAAAAGAAAAGUAAUUUUAUUGUUAUGCAGACAAGCAAGUAUGCCAUAUACCAUGCUGUAUAUUAAAUUUAUUUAUUUAUACCAUGGUCUGUCCGAAUACUCAAUUCUGAUUGGCUGGAAGGUGUACAUUAAAACCGUUAAACGCACAGGUAGUUCCAAGUCAGUUUAAUCACCAUUCUAUAUUAAUGCACUGCACGGACAUGCAUAUUGUUACGAUUGGGUCCUCUGCACCAGAUCUCUCGGGCAGCCAGAGGGAGCCCUUGCCAGAGUACUAGUUACAUUCGGACUACAUUUCCCAUAGAUCCACAUACCUGGGACUGAUCACGUCUGCACAUGCCGCCAAUCAUCUCAUUACAACACUCUAUUUAACAUGCACUCUCACUACAGUUCUUUGUGAAGUCUUGAUCAGCCACAGUUAUAAUUUCUGAGCGUUUAUUACUGAUUGUCUGCCUGUUACUGAUUGGAUUGUUAUUCUGGACUGUGAUUCUUGCUGCCUGCCCAUUGUCUUGCCUGUUUUUGUUUAUCCCUGUCUGCCGCCUGCCUCGAACCUCUGCCUGUCCCUGUUUACCCUGUCUGCUGCCUGCCACGACCCCUGGCCUGUAUUCUGGUUUAUGAUUCCUGUAUUGCCCUUGUUACUGAAUAAACUGCAAAUGGAUCAUCA
Molecule: long non-coding RNA, 927 nt
Organism: Megalobrama amblycephala (Wuchang bream)
Lineage: Eukaryota; Metazoa; Chordata; Actinopteri; Cypriniformes; Xenocyprididae
Exons: 2
Source: RefSeq, a predicted model, not a curated record